Molecule: non-coding RNA, 644 nt
Organism: Cinara cedri
Lineage: Eukaryota; Metazoa; Arthropoda; Insecta; Hemiptera; Aphididae
Source: the annotation of a GenBank genome assembly
GUAAUUUAUCUAAAAUAUCACCUAUGUCAAAUUUGUGUCAAACUUAUUUAUUGUAAAAUAGAAUUUCUUAUCUACUUUAAAAAUGUGAAAAUAUAUAAAAGUAUAAUCACACAAUUAUAUUAUUACGUUUGGACAGUAUAUUAUGCUUCCUUAUUGUAAUUAAUUAAAAUCAAAAUAUCAAAUUAUUAUUUUAUCUUUCCUGGUUUAUUUGAGGGAAGGGGGACUGGGAUAUUAAAGAAAUAUCUCUCCACUAGACCAUUUUUUUUUUCGAAAUCUAUUAUUAUUAUAAUAAUAUAGUAUUUUUUUAAAUUCAAAUUUUUUACUUUGAAUUCUGAAAAAUCAAAAAUAGAUUACAUCUUACUAAUAAUAAUAAAUUAUGUACCUAUAAGACCUGAAUUAAUACAUUUUCUUGUUUAAAUGGUUUACUAAUAUCUAAAGUUAUUUGAUUUUAAUGAUAAUUUUAAGUAUGUAAAUUACUUAAACAAAUUGAUAUAUUUUUUAUAGCCCAGGUACAUGUUAUUCACAAUUUAAUUUAUUUAGCUAUUAAAUCAAAAAUAAAAACAUAUCUUACAUACACAUACAAUAGUAUAAUAUGUAAAAAUAGGUAGGCAAUAAAAUAAUAAAUCUACUUAUGAACAAAGCCU